This 1568-nucleotide ribosomal RNA is filed under the name Bifidobacterium breve. RNAcentral's name for it is "partial 23S ribosomal RNA". It matches the Rfam family "Bacterial large subunit ribosomal RNA", at positions 1 to 1525 of the family's 2925-position model. Lineage: Bacteria; Bacillati; Actinomycetota; Actinomycetes; Bifidobacteriales; Bifidobacteriaceae. The record is from RNAcentral.
GAAGAAGAUACUAAGGGCGCACGGCGGAUGCCUUGGCACAGGAAGUCGAAGAAGGACGCGGCAAGCUGCGAUAAGCUCCGGGGAGGCGCAAACGGCCUUCGAUCCGGAGAUCUCCGAAUGGGGGAACCCAGCAGGGGUCAUGCCCUGCUACCCGCGCCUGAAUGAAAUAGGGCGCGAGGAGGCAACCCGGGGAACUGAAACAUCUAAGUACCCGGAGGAAGAGAAAUCAACCGAGAUUGCGGGAGUAGCGGCGAGCGAAACCGCACCAGCCCAAACCCAUGCACGUGCAAGCUUGAGGGCGUUGCUGCAUGAGGGGUUGUGGGACCGCGCAUUCCAUGGGCCUCAGACCAUGGACGCAGUUACAAAUCCGCGCGGAAGCGGAACGGCCUGGGAAGGCCGGCGGAACAGGGUGAGAGCCCCGUACGCGAAUCCGCGCGGACUGCGAGUGCGGCACCCGAGUAGCGCCGGGCACGUGAAACCCGGUGCGAACCUGGGGGGACCACCCUCCAAGGCUGAACACUCUCCUGUGACCGAUAGCGAACCAGUACCGUGAGGGAAAGGUGAAAAGCACCCCGAGAGGGGAGUGAAACAGUACCUGAAACCGUGCGCCUACAAGCAGUCGGAGCCCCCGAGCGGGGUGACGGCGUGCCUUUUGUAGAAUGAGCCAGCGAGUUGCGGUAUGCGGCGAGGUUAAGGUUUGAACCGAGCCGCAGUGAAAGCGAGCCUUUAAGAUGGCGUAUGAGUCGCAUGCUGCAGACGCGAAGCCGGGUGAGCUAUCCAUGGGCAGGCUGAAGCGGGGGUAAGACCCCGUGGAGGGCCGAACCCACUUCGGUUGAAAACGGAGGGGAUGACCCGUGGAUAGGGGUGAAAGGCCAAUCAAACCCGGAGAUAUCUCGUUCUCCCCGAAAUAGCUUUAGGGCUAGCCUCGGCCGUUCUCCGACGGCGGUAGAGCACUGGAUCGUCGAGGGGGCUUCACCGCCUACCGACACGAACCAAACUCCGAAUGCCGCCGGAUCAGAGGCCGGGAGUCAGAACAUGUGGGCUAAGCUGUGUGUUCGAGAGGGAAACAGCCCAGACCGCCCGCUAAGGUCCCCAAGUUUAUGCUGAGUGGCAAAGGAUGUGCGUUUGCCUAGACAACCAGGAUGUUGGCUUAGAAGCAGCCAUGCAUUUAAAGAGUGCGUAACAGCUCACUGGUCAAGUGGACAUGCGCCGACAAUUCACGGGGCUAAGCAUAACACCGAAGCGGCGGACUAAUCUAUAUUAGUGGUAGGGGAGCUUUCCCCGCAGCGGAGAAGCCGAGAGGGCGACCCUCGGUGGAGCGCGGGGAAGUGAGAAUGCUGGCAUGAGUAACGAGAGCGGCGCGAGAAACGCCGCCGCCGUAAGCCUAAGGGUUCCUGGGCAAGGCUAAUCCUCCCAGGGUCAGUCGGGAGCUAAGGCGAGGCCGAGAGGCGUAGCCGAUGCGCAACAGGCGGACAUUCCUGUACCGCCUGCGGACCGCUAUCACCGACGGGGUGACGGAGAAGGGUAGCCGAGCGGGGUUCUGGACGUCCCCGUGAAAGCGCGUAGGG